UGAAUACAUAGGUUAACGAGGCGAACCGGGGGAACUGAAACAUCUAAGUACCCCGAGGAAAAGAAAUCAACCGAGAUUCCCCCAGUAGCGGCGAGCGAACGGGGAGCAGCCCGGAGUCUGAAUCAGCUUGUGUGUUAGUGGAACGGUCUGGAAAGUCCGACGGUACAGGGUGAUAGUCCCGUACACGAAAAUGCACAUGCUGUGAACUCGAAGAGUAGGGCGGGACACGUGGUAUCCUGUCUGAAUAUGGGGGGA
RNAcentral lists this ribosomal RNA (255 nucleotides) under Enterobacter hormaechei. Its description in RNAcentral is "partial 23S ribosomal RNA". It matches the Rfam family "Bacterial large subunit ribosomal RNA", at positions 159 to 452 of the family's 2925-position model. The record is from RNAcentral. Lineage: Bacteria; Pseudomonadati; Pseudomonadota; Gammaproteobacteria; Enterobacterales; Enterobacteriaceae.